CCUGUUGAGUUUAAGCAUAUCAAUAAGUGGAGGAAAAGAAACUUACAAGGAUUCCCUUAGUAACGGGGAGCGAAUAGGAAAGAGCCCAACUUGAGAAUCGGGCAUCGUCAACGUUUGAAUUGUAGUCUAGAGAAGCAUCCUCAGCAGCGGACCAUGCUUUAAACAAGUCCUCUAGAAGGAGGCGUCAAAGAGGGUGAGAGCCACAUGGCAUUCGGACCCUGUCACACCACGAGGCGCUGUCAGCGAGUCAAGUUGUUUGGAAAUGCAGCCCCAAUUGAGUGGUAAAUUUUGUUUAAGGCUAAAUAUGAGCGAGAGACCGAUAGCAAACAAGUACCGAGAGGGAAAGAUGAAAAGGACUUUGAAAAUAAAGUCAAAUAGUGCUUGAAAUUGGCAGGAGGAAAGUGGAUGGGGGCUGGCAAUGUGCCUCAGUCAGAUGUAGAACGGUGAUGAGUUGGUCCACUAAUCAACUUGGGCCAUGGACCGAUGUAGAUUGAGACAACGACCUACGCCUAGGCUUUUGUUAUGCUUAUGGAGGCGUUGUGGGCUUUGGCAUCUGCGCGCUCCUGGCAUCGACUUGUGGGCUCCCCAUUUGACCCGUCUUGAAACACAAACCAAGGAGUCUAACAUGUGUACAAGUUAACGAGAGAGUAAACUCGUAAGGAGCAAGGAAGCUGACUAGUGGAAUCCCCUAGUAGAUUGUACCACCUAUCAACCUUGAUCUUCUAAUAAGGGUUCGAGUUUGAGCAUGCCUAUCGUUUUUUGACUUGUGUAUAGGGUUGAAAGACUAACUGAACCAUCUAGUAGCUAAUUCCCUCUGAAGUUUCCCUCAAGAAAGCUGGAGCCUGCGGGCGAGUUCUAUCGGGUAAAGCCAAUGAUUAGAGGCAUCGGAGGCACAACAUCCUCGACAUAUUCUCAAACUUUUGUAGGACGGUGCAGCUGCUUUGUUGAGUAGGGCAAUGGAAUCGAGAGCUCCAAUUGGGUCAUUUUUGGUAAGCAGAACUGGCGAUGCGGGAUGAACCAAAAGCUGGGGUUACGAUGCCUAAUUGCACGCUAACCUAGAUCCCACAAAGGGUAUAGGUCAAUUAAGAUACCAGGACGGUGGUCAUGGAAGUCAAAAUCCACUAAGGAGUGUGUAACAAGUCAUCUGCUGAAUCAACUAGCCCUGAAAUGGAUGGCGCUAAAGCGCAGGACCCAUACCUAACCAUCGGGGCAAGAGCCAGGCCUUGAUGAGUAAGAAAGUGUGAGGUCGCUGCAAAACCUUGAGCGUGAGCUUGGGCGGAGCGGCUGUCGGUGCAAAUCUUGGUGGUAGUAGAAAAUAUUCAAAUGAGAACUUUGAAGGCUGAAGAGGAGAAACGUUCCAUGUGAAUGGCACUUGUACAUGGGUUAGUCGAUCCUAAAAGACUGGGAAAACCCGUCAGAUAGCCCGACAGCGUGAACUUCAAAAGGGAAUUGGGUUAAAAUUCAUGAAUCUAGACGUAGCAGCUGACAAAUAUGUAAGGGAUUUUGGAGACAUCCACGGGGGCCUCGGAAAGAGUUAUCCUUUCUACUUAACAGCCUGCCCACCCUGGAAACGACUCAUGUAAACACAAGAUUCUCUUUAGAUAUUUUUUCUUUAUAUAAUAUAAAAGAAAGAAAGAAAAAAUGGAAAUUAAUUUUAUAAUAUUUUUAUAUGAUUAAAGGUUUUGUU
Molecule: non-coding RNA, 1687 nt
Organism: Cucumis melo (muskmelon)
Lineage: Eukaryota; Viridiplantae; Streptophyta; Magnoliopsida; Cucurbitales; Cucurbitaceae
Source: Rfam